Molecule: ribosomal RNA, 207 nt
Filed under: uncultured bacterium
Lineage: Bacteria
Description: partial 16S ribosomal RNA
Rfam family: Bacterial small subunit ribosomal RNA
Source: RNAcentral
UGCGUAGGCGGCAUGGCAAGUUGGGUGUGAAAUCCCUCGACUCAACCGAGGAAUUGCGCCCAAAACUGCAAUGCUUGAGGGAGACAGAGGUGAGUGGAACUACGGGUGGAGCGGUGAAAUGCGUUGAUAUCCGUAGAAACACCGGUGGCGAAAGCGGCUCACUGGGUCUCUUCUGACGCUGAGGCACGAAAGCUAGGGUAGCGAACG